RNAcentral lists this ribosomal RNA (487 nucleotides) under uncultured bacterium. RNAcentral describes it as "bacterial SSU rRNA". It matches the Rfam family "Bacterial small subunit ribosomal RNA", at positions 28 to 507 of the family's 1533-position model. The record is from RNAcentral.
GAUGAACGUUAGCGGGAGGCUUAACACAUGCAAGUCGAGGGGCAGCAUAGGGUAGCAAUACUCUGAUGGCGACCGGCAAACGGGUGAGUAACGCGUAUGCAACCUACCCUGUACAGGGGGAUAACCCGGAGAAAUUCGGACUAAUAUCCCGUAAUAAUAUCCGGAGGCAUCUUUGGAUAUUUAAAGUUCCGACGGUACGGGAUGGGCAUGCGUAACAUUAACUGGUUGGUAAGGUAACGGCUUACCAAGGCUAUGAUGUUUAGGGGUCCUGAGAGGGUGGUCCCCCACACUGGUACUGAGACACGGACCAGACUCCUACGGGAGGCAGUAGUGAGGAAUAUUGGUCAAUGGGCGCAAGCCUGAACCAGCCAUCCCGCGUGCAGGAAGACGGCCCUAUGGGUUGUAAACUGCUUUUCCAGGGAGAGAAACUUACGCACGUGUUGCGUGACUGACGGUACCCUGGGAAUAAGCAUCGGCUAACUCCGUG